Non-coding RNA from Nematostella vectensis (starlet sea anemone), 77 nucleotides. The record is from the annotation of a RefSeq genome assembly. Lineage: Eukaryota; Metazoa; Cnidaria; Anthozoa; Actiniaria; Edwardsiidae.
GUCAGGAUGGCCGAGCGGUCAAAGGCGCCAGACUCAAGAUCCGAAUGGAGGCGUGGGUUCGAAUCCCACUUCUGACA